UACGUAGGGGGCAAGCGUUGUCCGGAUUUAUUGGGCGUAAAGAGCGUGUAGGCGGCCUGAAAGGUCAGCUGUGAAAACUCGAGGCUCAACCUCGAGACGUCGGUUGAAACCGUAUGGCUAGAGUCCGGAAGAGGAGAGUGGAAUUCCCGGUGUAGCGGUGAAAUGCGCAGAUAUCGGGAAGAACACCUAUGGCGAAGGCAGCUCUCUGGGACGGUACUGACGCUGAGACGCUAAAGCGUGGGGAGCAAACAGG
Molecule: ribosomal RNA, 253 nt
Filed under: uncultured bacterium
Lineage: Bacteria
Description: partial 16S ribosomal RNA
Rfam family: Bacterial small subunit ribosomal RNA
Source: RNAcentral